GGUGAGAUCUGGCCAUGAAGGCCGUAGAUCGCCUGGUGGAUGCCUUUCGGGGAGGCAUCAAGUUGGGAUCUAGCUGGAGAAGAAGAAGAAGAUGUCGAAGAAGAUGACUGGAGACAGUCCCAUUGAGUACUCCUUUAAGAACAAGGGUCCUGCGAAGACACAGGCCCCUUCCUCUAGCGCCAGCUCUAUUGGUGCAGAAUUCCAUCAAUGCCGG
RNAcentral lists this long non-coding RNA (214 nucleotides) under Elaeis guineensis (African oil palm). Its description in RNAcentral is "long non-coding RNA (EGUI_LNC071763)". Lineage: Eukaryota; Viridiplantae; Streptophyta; Magnoliopsida; Arecales; Arecaceae. The record is from RNAcentral.